Molecule: ribosomal RNA, 492 nt
Filed under: uncultured bacterium
Lineage: Bacteria
Description: partial 16S ribosomal RNA
Rfam family: Bacterial small subunit ribosomal RNA
Source: RNAcentral
AGUGAACGCUGGCGGUAGGCCUAACACAUGCAAGUCGAACGGCAGCACAGUAAGAGCUUGCUCUUACGGGUGGCGAGUGGCGGACGGGUGAGGAAUACAUCGGAAUCUACUUUUUCGUGGGGGAUAACGUAGGGAAACUUACGCUAAUACCGCAUACGACCUACGGGUGAAAUCAGGGGAUCUUCGGACCUUGCGCGAUUGAAUGAGCCGAUGUCGGAUUAGCUAGUUGGCGGGGUAAAGGCCCACCAAGGCGACGAUCCGUAGCUGGUCUGAGAGGAUGAUCAGCCACACUGGAACUGAGACACGGUCCAGACUCCUACGGGAGGCAGCAGUGGGGAAUAUUGGACAAUGGGCGCAAGCCUGAUCCAGCCAUACCGCGUGGGUGAAGAAGGCCUUCGGGUUGUAAAGCCCUUUUGUUAGGAAAGAAAAGCAGCAGGUUAAUACCCCGCUGUUCUGACGGUACCCAAAGAAUAAGCACCGGCUAACUUCGUG